This is a long non-coding RNA of Oncorhynchus nerka (sockeye salmon), 1833 nucleotides long. RefSeq lists it as uncharacterized. The transcript is spliced from 2 exons. The record is from RefSeq and is a predicted model, not a curated record. Lineage: Eukaryota; Metazoa; Chordata; Actinopteri; Salmoniformes; Salmonidae.
ACUCCAGGCUAUGGAUAAAUGCAUCAUAUGGUUCCUCCCUUUCUGCAGUGAGACUUUCUAUAACCUUCCUACCCUGAAGCUAAAUCAAAAUCAGCCAGUCAAAUCGGGAUAAACAGUUCCUUCGGAAAGUACUUUUCUACAUUUUGUUAGGUUACAACCUUAUUCUAAAAUGUAUUGAAUUGUUUUACAAUACCCCAUAAUGACAAAGCAAAAACAUAUGUAUUAUUAAAUGUUUGCUAAUUUAUAUAAAUAAAUAAAACAGCAAUAUAUAAUUAACAUAAGUACUUUGUUGAAGGACCUUUGGCAGCAAUUACAGCAUUGAGUCUCUUUGGGUAUGACUCUGCAAGCUUGGCACACCUGUAUUUGGGGAGUUUCUCCCAUUCUUCUCUGCAGAUCCUCUCAAGCUCUGUCAGGUUGCAUGGGGAGUGUUGCUGCACAGCUAUUUCCAGGUCUCUCCAGAGAUUUUCAAUCGGGUUCAAGUCCGGACUCUGGCUGGGCCACUCAAGGACAUUCAGAGACUUGUUCCGAAGCCACUCAGGCAUUGUCUUGGUUGUGUGCUUAGGGUUGUUGUCCUUUUGGAAGGUUGCCCAGUCUAAGGCCCUGAGGACUCUGGAGCAGGUUUCAUUAAGGAUCUCUCUGUACUUUACUUAAUUCAUCUUUGCCUCGAUCCUGACUAGUCUUCCAGUCCCUGCCACUGAAAAAUAUCCCCACACAUGAGCCUUUUACUGAGGAGUGGCUUCCGUCUGUACACUCUACCAUAAAGGCCUGAUUGGUGGAGUGCUGCAGAGAGGGUUGUCCUUCUGGAAGGUUCUCCCAUCUCCACAGAGGAACUCUGUUGCUCUGUCAGAGUGACCAUCGGGUUCUUGGUCACCAAGGCCCUUCUCCCCCAAUUGCUCAGUUUGGCCCAGAUGGCCAGCUCUAGGAAUAGUCUUGGUGGUUUCAAACGUAUUCCAUUCAAGAAUGAUGGAGGCCAGUGUGUUCUUGGGGACCUUCAAUGCUGCAGACAUUUUUUCCUACCCUUCCCCAUAUCUGUGCCUCGACAUGAUCCUGUCUCGAAGCUCUACGGACAAUUCCUUCGACCUCAUGGCUUGGUUUUUGCUCUGCCAACUGCCAACUGUGGGACCUUAUAUAGACAGGUGUGGGCAUUUCUAAAUCAUGUCCAAUCAAUUGAAUUUAACACAGGUGGACUUCAAUCAAGUUGUAGAGACAUCUCAAGGAUGAUCAAUGGAAACAGGAUGCACCUGAGCUGAAUUUCAAGUCUCAUAGCAAAGGGUCUGAAUACUUAUGUAAAUAAGUGACAUCUCAAUCAACCAGACAGGUCCUACAGGCCCUCGUUUUGUCGCACCUGGACUACUACCUAGUAGAAGGAAAGAAGGACAUAGGCCAAUUGCAGUUGGUCCAGAACAGAGCAGUACUUGGAUGUACACGGAGGGCUAAUGUUUUGACAUGCAUGUCUAUCUCUCCUGGCUCAAAGUUGAGGAGAGAUUGAUUGCACACUAUUGGUCUUUGUUGUAUUAUAUAUUGUAUUUUAUGUUGCAUUAUAUAUUGGAUUGUGUAUUGUGUUAUAUGUUGUAUUAUGUGUUGUAUUAUAUAUUGUAUUAUACUAUAUUGUAUUAUGUAUGUUAUUAUAUAUUGAAUUAUAUUUUGUAUUAUGUAUUGUAUUAUAUAUUGAGAAUAUUUUGUGUUAUGUAUUGUAUUUUAAAUUGUAUUAGGUGUGUCAUGUAUAAUAUGUAUUUUAUUUGUUGUGUUUUGUUUCCUGUUUGGACCCCAGGAAGAGUAGCCUCUGCCUUGACAGCAGCUAAUUGGGGUUCCUAAUAAAAUACUAAAUACGCA